CUCAAAUUUGAAAUCUGACCUUUGGGUCCGAGUUGUAAUUUGUAGAGGAUGUUUCGGGUAAGAUCUAGGUCUAAGUUUCUUGGAACAGGACGUCAUAGAGGGUGAGAAUCCCGUACGUGGCUCAUGAUCGCACCCAUGUGAAACUCCUUCGACGAGUCGAGUUGUUUGGGAAUGCAGCUCAAAAUGGGUGGUAAAUUUCAUCUAAAGCUAAAUAUUGGCCAGAGACCGAUAGCGCACAAGUAGAGUGAUCGAAAGAUGAAAAGCACUUUGAAAAGAGAGUUAAAAAGCAUGUGAAAUUGUUGAAAGGGAAGCGCUUGCAGCCAGACUUGUUUAUAGGGUUCAGCCGUCGUUCCCGUCGGUGUAUUUCCCUAUCAUCAGGGCAGCAUCAGUCGGGUGGAAGUAAAGGUUCGGGAUGUGACUCCUUCGGGUCGGUUUAUAGCCUGGGACAUAAUUCCUUACCCGCUGGGACUGAGGAACGCGUUCGCUAGGAUGCUGGCGUAAUGGUUGCAAGCGACCCGUCUGAAACACGGACCAAGGAGUCUAACAUCUAUGCGAGUAUUUGGGUGUCAAACCCCUAUGCGCAAUGAAAGUGAACGGAGGUGGGAGCUUCGGCGCACCAUCGACCGAUCCUGAUGUCUUCGGAUGGAUUUGAGUAAGAGCAUAGCUGUUGGGACCCGAAAGGUACGUUCUACUUUUAUUUGUCGCCAGUUUCCUUUUUUCGUGUUUAUUGAAUGCUAAUUAAUUUUUUAGAUGGUGAACUAUGCCUGAAUAGGGUGAAGCCAGAGGAAACUCUGGUGGAGGCUCGCAGCGGUUCUGACGUGCAAAUCGAUCGUCAAAUUUGGGUAUAGGGU
This 851-nucleotide ribosomal RNA is filed under the name Sclerococcum fusiformis. Its description in RNAcentral is "Dactylospora fusiformis partial large subunit ribosomal RNA". It matches the Rfam family "Eukaryotic large subunit ribosomal RNA", at positions 108 to 923 of the family's 3401-position model. Lineage: Eukaryota; Fungi; Ascomycota; Eurotiomycetes; Sclerococcales; Dactylosporaceae. The record is from RNAcentral.